RNAcentral lists this ribosomal RNA (1719 nucleotides) under Triticum aestivum (bread wheat). RNAcentral's name for it is "partial small subunit ribosomal RNA". Lineage: Eukaryota; Viridiplantae; Streptophyta; Magnoliopsida; Poales; Poaceae. The record is from RNAcentral.
AUGUCCGUGGGAGAAUCCCUUGGUUCUCAUAGUCUGCAUUCAUUUGCAGAAUUCUUGCAGAGUCACAUCAAUUCACCUGAAGCAAGUUCUUGUCUGACUAGCCGCAAGAAGCCAUUGCACGUUCUGAAACCCUUCAGCUUAAACUUCAUGACAACUGAAAAGUCAGCACGAAAGGGAGGCAGACAGCGCCGUGGUAACACUUCAAAGGAUUUGCCUCCUGAUCUUCACGAGCUGUACAAAACUGAUCCUGAGGAAACCUAUACCGGCCGCAAGAAUCGAAUCCAGUGGAUUCGAAGAUAUUGGGCUGAAGAAUGGUUCAAAUACCGCUUCGUCACUGAAGAAUAUGCAGAGAAAAAUGCCAUCAAGACACCCUGGGGAGAUAUUGUGUACAAAAAUCUUCAACCCCAGUCUCUUUCCGAAGCCAUCCAACUGGAAUUCUAUCCUUGCAUGGUUCGCGGACCAGAGCUAGAGAAUGCUGACCCUUCUUCUCUGCUAUGGUGUCGCGAAGACCAUCUCUUUAAGCGCAAUUACCAGUUCGCCAAAGACUCAGCUGCGAAGAACAAGAAGGCUCUAGGGCUCAACUUCAACCCUUGUCCUUCCUCACCUCGGGAUGAUGGCACCCGCGAAGCCAAUGAGAAUAGGAUCGGUCCCUUCUACAACUUUGAAGGCCUCCUCGCUCACAUAGCUGUACAAGGUGCCAAGGUGGAUCAUUCUGAUGAUGAUGCUGACACAGAUGAAGCUCCUGCUCCUACUCCAAAGCCGCAGAAGCAAAAGAAUGCUAAAGCUUCAAAACCCUCUGCUGCACCAAAGGCUUCUCGAGUGAAGCCGUUGGCAACUGCCCCUCCUGCUCCAAGCAACGCCUCUGAAGAUCUCUCUCGCAUCUCUAAGAAGCGUGAGAAGCCACAGAAGAAACCUGUUCAGAGACUCAGUCAAGCACUGACACCAGCUGCCGUUCUGAGGAAUGAAUCUGAAGCCAUUGAUUUGUCUUCAGAUGAAGAAUUUGGUGAGGAUGCUCUGGAGCAGCUGAUCAAGAGCAAGCAAGAGGCGGAGAUCUUCAAUGAUCUGCCCCUCUUUGAUGUGAACAUCUUGCACAAUUUCAUUGAUGAGUGGUUCGACAAUCAAAAUCUCAGCUUUGAUGAUCUCCAACUCCCCAUUGGCAUCAGCGUCGCCUUCCAAGGCGCAAUUGCUCCUGAGCUGGCUCUGGCCCAGCGAAUUGUUGAACUGAAACACAAGAUUGAUUUCGAGAAGGAACAGUUCAAGAAGCAUGUGGCCAAGCUGAGUGUGGCUGAUGUCCAAAAAUUCAAGGUGAUGCUGAAUGACCUUAAAGAAGCCUUUCGCAAGAAGCGUGAAGAAGCCAAAGGCUCAAGAGAACGCAUGAAGAUUCUUGCUGCCAAAUGUGUUCAGGCUUACAACGAAGCUGAAAAGCGCAAGGCACUUGGGCGUCCUGGUAUUGACCCCAAGAUGGCUGUCAAGCAAAAGAAGAAGUCUACUGUGGCCCCCACUGAAGCUCCAAGGCGGGAAGAACCUCGCAUUGUCUUCCCUGCCAGCAUGAUAGGCUCGAAGCCUAAGGUCUCCACAGUGGCUUCAGAUCAGCAGAAGACCAAGGCCGCUGAAGCCGAAGCCAGAAAGCGCAAAAUCAAGCGCACUACUGAUGAUGCACCACCCCAAAGAAGAGAACGACCAAGAAGAAAGAUCGGGCUGCUUCCAGAGAGCCCCUAG